UUGCUUUGGCAGCACAUAUGCUAAAAUUGGAACGAUACAGAGAAAAUUAGCAUGGCCCCUACACAAAGAUGACGUGCAAAUUCGUGAAGUAGUCCAUAUUUAA
RNAcentral lists this small nuclear RNA (103 nucleotides) under Vombatus ursinus (common wombat). The record is from RNAcentral. Lineage: Eukaryota; Metazoa; Chordata; Mammalia; Diprotodontia; Vombatidae.